AUCAAGAUGGAGCAGGGUAUAGAGAAGCCAUUAGGGAUGAUACAGAACACCACCAAAGGGUUAGUAACGGUGGGGAACUGUUUGCACCCCGAAGCCUGAAAGAGUGAAGUAGGGUGGGAUUACCUGGAAAGAGAGAGAGAGACAGAAGGAGAAUGAGAUUGAGGGAAGGGCUGCCUGGCAGGGGAAGCUGACGCCUUCAGGCAAGUGAAGAAGCCAGCCCGCAGCAACUCUGCAGGGAAGAAUAUAGGGAAAUAAACGCCUUCAUCUCUCUCUUGUCCCACCCGCAGAGCUCCUUCUGGGAUUCUCUAUUGGCUGAACUCAGCCAGAAGCUGCCAAGGGAGACCCCCACAACUGGAUGCAGCCCACUGAAGUCAGCUUCCUGGGGUGCGUAGCUGAAGGUAGCAGGGAGCAAAAAGAAUCUGAAGGGGAAGUGAACAAUGUAGAGCGUAUCUGUGCUGAAGACGUAAGGAGAGAGUGGAGGUCAGAAGCUGGCAUGGUCCCUGGUGCAUGUAUCAGCCGCUAAAGAAGUGGAGAGUAUGAACAUAAGCAAGAGGAAGUGAUGAGUAUCCCUUCCAGGAGAACUCUAAGAGGCAGUGAGUGAUUUGCUGGGCUCCCAAGCCCUCUGCUCUGAUGACAGCAAAGCCCCAAAUCAUGGUGCCUCCAUCAGUCGGGACCCCUCAGCAGAGCCAGCUUCACAGCUGGAGUGGAUGAAUCAGAACUUUCCCCAUGGGAGCAUUUAUAAAAAGGGGACACCCAGCGCAGAAGAUGUUUUCCAGGGAGAUCUCGGGGAGCCCAACAAGCCAAGAAGAGCAGAGCAAAGCAUUCCAAGGAAGGACUCUAAGUCUGCAACCGAGCACACACGAGGGUAGCCUACGCAUGUACGUCUUGCAGUGAUGGCAAGGAGCAGGAGAAAGAAAGCCCAUCCAAACAAGCAUAUUGGAAGCCUAUGUAUCCCAUAAGCUGACAUCUUGUUGCCCAAAGCAUGUCAUGUGCGUGGUCCAGAGUCAGUGUUGAAGGGCUCUGCAAAAUCACAUGGUAAAGACUGUGGUUUCAGGGAGGAGUGAAGAUUUGUGCGCAUUGCUCCAAUUGACAACCAUGGCACUAGGCUCAGGCCACACUUCUUCCUAACAAGAGAGCAAGUCAAAGCGUGGUUAGUUAAAGUCCAUACAAAAACUCACUUUAACAGGCCUCCUCUGGAUUGAACAGCUGAUAUUAAGUCAUAAGGUACCACAUCAGAAAGAUACUGGGUAUCUUUGGUUCAGCAAUUCCAUCACCAGGGACUUUUUCAUCCUAAGGAAAUCACUGCACGGUGGACAAAGAUAUAUGCAUAAGGAUGCUCCUUCUGGCCAAAGACCAAAAACAUAACUGGCCAUCAGUAAAAGCCAACACAAGGAAAGACCAUGUGAAUACACAGCAAGAACGUGGUGCUCUGCAAGUCAGAAACAGACCCGUCAUCAGACACCAAAUCAGCCAGCACCUUGAUCUAGGAUUUCUGGCCUCCAAAACAGUGAGAAAAUAAAAUUCUGUUGUUUAAGCCAUGCAGCCUGUUGUAUUUCAUUAUGGCAGCCUGAGCAGAAUAAGACAGGUAUAUACAAAUGCAAAUUCUAUUAAGAAAUCUGUAUCUUUUACCCUAUUGAAG
This 1639-nucleotide long non-coding RNA is filed under the name Homo sapiens (human). Its description in RNAcentral is "HSALNT0405437". Lineage: Eukaryota; Metazoa; Chordata; Mammalia; Primates; Hominidae. The record is from RNAcentral.